RNAcentral lists this ribosomal RNA (415 nucleotides) under Anomaloglossus cf. baeobatrachus ABGD cluster 4. Its description in RNAcentral is "partial large subunit ribosomal RNA". It matches the Rfam family "Bacterial large subunit ribosomal RNA", at positions 1834 to 2458 of the family's 2925-position model. The record is from RNAcentral. Lineage: Eukaryota; Metazoa; Chordata; Amphibia; Anura; Aromobatidae.
UUGAUUAAACCAUAAGAGGUCCAGCCUGCCCAGUGACAUUGUUCAACGGCCGCGGUAUCCUAACCGUGCGAAGGUAGCGUAAUCACUUGUCCUUUAAAUGAAGACUAGUAUGAAUGGCCCCACGAAAGCUAUACUGUCUCCUUUUUCUAAUCAGUUAAACUAAUCUCCCCGUGAAGAAGCGGGGAUAAACAUAUAAGACGAGAAGACCCUAUGGAGCUUUAAACAACUGAAACACUUGUAUAUCUCCCUUCACCUACCCACAUUUAACUCCACAUCUUGUUUCUAGUUUUAGGUUGGGGUGACCACGGAGAAAAAACUAACCUCCACGAUGAAAGAGACAUCUCUAAACAAAAAGCUACAUCUUUAUGUAUUAAUACAUUAACCUUUAUUGACCCAAUAAAUUGAUCAACGAACC